This 84-nucleotide transfer RNA is filed under the name Faecalibacterium prausnitzii. RNAcentral describes it as "tRNA-Leu". It matches the Rfam family "tRNA". Rfam says of the family: Transfer RNA (tRNA) molecules are approximately 80 nucleotides in length. Lineage: Bacteria; Bacillati; Bacillota; Clostridia; Eubacteriales; Oscillospiraceae. The record is from RNAcentral.
GCGGCUAUGGUGGAAUAGGCAGACACGCUGGUUUUAGGUACCAGUUCCCAGUGAGUGAGGGUUCAAGUCCCUCUAGCCGCACCA